Molecule: long non-coding RNA, 2377 nt
Organism: Mangifera indica (mango)
Lineage: Eukaryota; Viridiplantae; Streptophyta; Magnoliopsida; Sapindales; Anacardiaceae
Exons: 3
Source: RefSeq, a predicted model, not a curated record
CUAUCUUAUUUUUGUUCCCGCCCCUGUACUUCUCUGGAAUUUAAAAUUGGCAGGCUCUGAAAUGAAAGAACUUUCUAGAGCAAUGGAAGACGCGAAGAAGAGACCUUCACGAAGCAUAUCGGGCAGGAGAGGAAAGUUUACAGAGACGGCUUCUUCGAUCUUCACAUCUCAACAAACAAGUAUCUUGAAGAACGAUGAAGCUGUUAGCUCCUGUUAAACCCUGACGUUUGAUGCAUAUUGUGUUGAUGCUUGUGAUCCCGAAGGAGAUUGCAAGCAUACACCUGUUUUGAAUUAUCAAGUGAAGAUAUAUAAAAAAUCCGCCGUCAAACAAAAUAAUUUAUAUUUGUUGCUUUCCUUAAAUGUUGAAUAGAGGCUCCUACAACUGAAAUUCUUUUGCUUUGGCUGGGGUCUCUGUUCUGUUCCAUUGCACCUGGAAUAAAUUUUGCAAAUUUCAGCAGUUGCAGACUCCCCCAUUCAAGAGAUAUAAUUGCCCGGUUAUGUUAAGUUGCUGCUACAACUGGAUCCACUUCUCUUGGUCGGCUACAAGUGGCAUCCUCUACAAGCUUAAGCCUUCAAGAUGCUAUCUUCCAAACAAGCUGCUGCCACAGAUAAUUUCCAGUACCUAUAAUCUGCUCAGCCUGGUUUUAUUCCCAAAAGCCCUGAGCAAUGUCAAUUGCCAAGAAACCAGACUCAUGCAUGUUUUGUAUGCUAUUCACCCAGGUGUAGUUCAGAGUUUGUAUAGCACUGGAUUUGGACUGGCAUGUCUUUUACCUGUCAUGUGUUUUGUUUUUGUAACUAUUAGCUCUUAUAGGCCUCUUCUUGAACUCUAUCUCUAUAGGAACUUUGAUAGACAUUCAAAAGGAGUUGACCUCUUUCAGUAUAGCUUUACUUUUGUAGAUUUGCCGGUCUUAAGCUUGAUUUUGCUAUCUUUCUCUUGCAGCUUAGGUUGUUUCCGAGUCUUUCAUGGCCGGUUGUUUUUGCGUUAAUAUAUACUUUACUUACCCCAAAAAAAAAAAAAAAAAAGUGAAAUUCCCUUUUUCUCUUUAUUGAAGUUCAAUACUGUUUGUCUUCUUGCUUCAGAGCAAAUCUUUUGAAAGACUGUGAUCAUAUUCUGUCUGUGAAUAUAUAUAUAUAUAUUUUGUUUACUUGUAAUUUUUGCAUACCAUAUCUGCUUUUUCUAUUUGUUUUUGGAGAAAUAGUUGAAAGAAAUUAGGGAAAGGGACAGAUCUCAAUUGGUAUGGCUCGUGAUGUGGAGCUAGUGCCUUGAACUUUUGAUUUGUUUAAAUGCUUGUUAUGUAAUGAUUUCCCAAGUUAUCCGGAUGGGAUGGAGGAAUGGUUUGCAAAUAUCCUAUUUUGAAAUGGUCCAUUGGAUCAGAUUCUGCAAAAUAAAUUUCUUCGCUCAUCUAAUGAAACUUCAAUUGCAUUAAGUUCCCUCUCCAUUAACAAUUAGUCCUAAUGAUCUUAUGUACUACUGCUUAGAUUUUACUUGCAACUGGUGAUAAUAAAUAUUUAUAUAUACAGCCAACUCAGAUCUUGUCCAUCCUCCAAAAACCGAAGACUCCAGGAAGCACUGAUGCUGGGAGGUCGCCUAGUAACAGCAUUACAGGGAAUUCUUUGUCUAUCAAAAGGAUCAAGUUUCAGAUGGUGUUAUCAGUUCAGCGGUAAAAUCUACCAGUUGUGGCAAUCAAAUCUCCGAGAACACUAAAAUUGGAAACAUAAACCAGCAAACGCAGAGAAUGAAACUGUCCUCCGGGGCUCUGAUGGAUAGUGGGAAAUUAAAGAAAUUCGCUUAACAACAUAGAAAGAGUGUAUUUUAUGUUCAUACUUGAAAAUUAUCGUGUGCAUAUUCUUACCCGCCGUUUGGCAUUAGAAUGGCUUGGAGAGGAAGAUCUUCUAAGAGGUGAUCCUGAAGGCACAAAUGAAAAGCGAAGUGGAGAGUCUGCUCCUGCACGUCUCUCUGAUAAUGCGUACAUAAAUCAAUGUAAGAUUGUAUUGCAGUUGACAAUCCUUGGAUACCAAAAAAAAAAAAAAAUCCCAUUUCCAAAAACCUGGUGUUUUGUUGCCUGAAAUUCUUGUAAAAAAAGACAUUCCUUGUCUUGAGGAAGGCUGUGGAGAUUGCAAUGUGUACUGCACUUGUCUGCAUCACAGUUAAUUGCAUUAAGAGAAAUGUGAGAAUUGGGGCACAAGCUCAGAAAGUAUUGAAUACGACAUGGACAAAGAUUACCUGAGAUAAGUUGAAGGGCUCUCUGUAGUUGUUACUUGAGCAGCUGACAGAACAUAUCAAAAGAUUGUCAGGUUUUUUCCCAGUAUUUGGGAAAGCAUUUUAUACUCAUUCUUGGAAAUAAAUUUGUCGUAUAGUGGUGACCCGUUGAGCUAU